This 790-nucleotide ribosomal RNA is filed under the name uncultured archaeon. Its description in RNAcentral is "bacterial SSU rRNA". It matches the Rfam family "Archaeal small subunit ribosomal RNA", at positions 85 to 879 of the family's 1478-position model. The record is from RNAcentral.
ACUGCUCAGUAACACGUGGACAACCUAACCUAUGGAGGGGGAUAACCCCGGGAAACUGGGGAUAAUACCCCAUAGACUAUGAAUGCUGGAAUGCUUUGUAGUUGAAAGGUCCGCCGCCAUAGGAUGGGUCUGCGGCCGAUUAGGUUGUUGUUGGGGUAACGGCCCAACAAGCCUGUAAUCGGUACGGGUUGUGGGAGCAAGAGCCCGGAGAUGGAUUCUGAGACACGAAUCCAGGCCCUACGGGGCGCAGCAGGCGCGAAAACUUUACAAUGCGGGAAACCGUGAUAAGGGAACUCCGAGUGCCCGUAAAAUCGGGCUGUCCAUCUGUUUAAAUAACAGGUGAAGAAAGGGCCGGGCAAGACCGGUGCCAGCCGCCGCGGUAAUACCGGCGGCUCGAGUGGUGGCCACUAUUACUGGGCUUAAAGCGUUCGUAGCUGGUCUGUUAAGUCUCUGGGGAAAUCUACUGGCUUAACCAAUAGGCGUUUCAGGGAUACUGGCAGACUAGGGACCGGGAGAGGUGAGAGGUACUCCAGGGGUAGGAGUGAAAUCCUGUAAUCCUUGGGGGACCACCUGUGGCGAAGGCGUCUCACCAGAACGGCUCCGACAGUGAGGGACGAAAGCUGGGGGAGCAAACCGGAUUAGAUACCCGGGUAGUCCCAGCUGUAAACGAUGCGCGUUAGGUGUAUCGGUGACCACGAGUCAUCGAGGUGCCGAAGAGAAAUCGUGAAACGUGCCGCCUGGGAAGUACGGUCGCAAGGCUGAAACUUAAAGGAAUUGGGGGGGGGAGCAC